This is a long non-coding RNA of Tupaia belangeri chinensis (Chinese tree shrew), 335 nucleotides long. RefSeq lists it as uncharacterized. The transcript is spliced from 4 exons. NCBI's taxonomy places the organism in Eukaryota, Metazoa, Chordata, Mammalia, Scandentia, Tupaiidae. The record is from RefSeq and is a predicted model, not a curated record.
CUGAAGUUUGGCAUCAACGACCACCUGUCGGCUGGAACGCGGUGUCCUCUGCCGCGUGGGCUCCCUUAAAAGAGCUCCAUGUUCAAAAGAAGAAAUUGGCUACAGCCAUAAGAGUACAGAAUGCAGUGUGAAUAGAUGGAGCCUGUACUUACUGUGCAAAGAGGAUGCCAGUUGUUCUCUGGAAGAUCUUGGAUACAAAUUGCAGCCUGCAACACUCCUGAACCCAGGACUGUAGCCACAACUGACAGCUGCACACAGUGUACGUGAGUCACCAUGCACCAGACUGCAAGAACCAAUUGAUCAACGCAGAAAUUUUACUAGCUGGUGGAUUUCAA